CACACACACACACACACACACACACACACACACACACACACACACACACACACACACACACACACACACACACACACACACACACACACACACACACACACACACACACACACACACACAAAUCUUGUGUCAUCUCAUGCACCCACAGCAAAUACACACCUCCUCGUCCUUCACUGUCUGGUCCGUCUCCAUUGGCUCCUCGCCCUCAGCUGUUUUGAUGGUUUCAACGAGCGACGCGCUCGAUACACUGAACACACCGUGAACAUUGACCCGAACCUUCACCUUGACCUUUGCACUCUCCCCAGAUGCCUGAGGAACCACAUUCUGGACAAGGAACUGACCUGCAGGGCAAAGGAAACGGCCACAGCUGGCAGAAAGGGAGUCUGUGUUGUGCAUCACAAACAGGACUUCAGUGUUGGUAGCUGAAGGUGACCUGUACCUGCAGAGCACAGCCUCUGGCCACGGCCUCGUCCGCGUUCAGGGUGGUGCUCAGCUCUUUGCCGAAGAAUUUGCUGAUUCGCUCCUUGAUGGCAGGGAUUCUGGAGGCACCACCGACGAUCUCCACUGCGUAGAUGUCUUCCUUUUUCAGCUCUGGAUACAGGAAGCAGGAGAUACGUGUCAUUCAAAGCAGAGGCUUCUUAAGUUUAGACAGUUUCCAAAACUCUCUUAGGUAUAUAUGUGUGUACUCUGUCUUAAUGAAAGAAACUCAUGUGUAUAAAAUAACAUUUAGUGCCUAUUUAAAAUGGCAUAGCUGAUAUAAUCUGAUAUAUUUUUAUUACUUUGCGCCACAAAUUAUGCAUGCCUCCAGCAUGCCUGAGAUAGAAAGGAGCAUUAUUGCUUCCUUUCUGUCCCAGGCAUGCCACCAUUGUCCGGAGGGAAGGGCUGUCUCAGCAAAGCAUGUGACUGAGCCUCGUCUACGCAAGUGUGCAUGUGCGUACGGGGAUAUUCCAGCUGCUAUUAAAGUCAUAUGUACUCACUGGCUUGUUCCAUGACACUGCGCAGGGGACCCUCGACUUUGGCCAGCAGCCCCGCACACAUCUCCUCAAACUGACCUCUGGGGACAAAUGGUCAUAGAUUAUUAAUAGAUGCAGAUUCACACACACACACACACACACACACACACACACACACACACACACACACACACACACACACACACACACACACACACACACACACACACACACACACACACACACA
Long non-coding RNA from Scophthalmus maximus (turbot), 1200 nucleotides. RefSeq lists it as uncharacterized. The record is from RefSeq and is a predicted model, not a curated record. The transcript is spliced from 2 exons. Lineage: Eukaryota; Metazoa; Chordata; Actinopteri; Pleuronectiformes; Scophthalmidae.